GUGAGGAAUAUUGCGCAAUGGAGGCAACUCUGACGCAGCCAUGCCGCGUGUGUGAAGAAGGUCUUCGGAUUGUAAAGCACUUUAAGUUGGGAGGAAGGGCAGUAAGUUAAUACCUUGCUGUUUUGACGUUACCGACAGAAUAAGCACCGGCUAACUUCGUGCCAGCAGCCGCGGUAAUACGAAGGGUGCAAGCGUUAAUCGGAAUUACUGGGCGUAAAGCGCGCGUAGGUGGUUUUGUAAGUUGGAGGUGAAAUCCCCGGGCUCAACCUGGGAACUGCCUCCAAAACUGCAUGACUAGAGUACGGUAGAGGGUAGUGGAAUUUCCUGUGUAGCGGUGAAAUGCGUAGAUAUAGGAAGGAACACCAGUGGCGAAGGCGACUACCUGGACUGAUACUGACACUGAGGUGCGAAAGCGUGGGGAGCAAACAGGAUUAGAAACCCGUGUAGUCC
This 450-nucleotide ribosomal RNA is filed under the name uncultured bacterium. Its description in RNAcentral is "partial 16S ribosomal RNA". It matches the Rfam family "Bacterial small subunit ribosomal RNA", at positions 354 to 796 of the family's 1533-position model. The record is from RNAcentral.